Molecule: ribosomal RNA, 429 nt
Filed under: Gemmatimonadota bacterium
Lineage: Bacteria; Pseudomonadati; Gemmatimonadota
Description: Gemmatimonadetes bacterium partial 16S ribosomal RNA
Rfam family: Bacterial small subunit ribosomal RNA
Source: RNAcentral
UAGGGAAUCUUCGGCAAUGGACGAAAGUCUGACCGAGCAACGCCGCGUGAGUGAAGAAGGUUUUCGGAUCGUAAAACUCUGUUGUUAGAGAAGAACAAGGACGUUAGUAACUGAACGUCCCCUGACGGUAUCUAACCAGAAAGCCACGGCUAACUACGUGCCAGCAGCCGCGGUAAUACGUAGGUGGCAAGCGUUGUCCGGAUUUAUUGGGCGUAAAGCGAGCGCAGGCGGUUUCUUAAGUCUGAUGUGAAAGCCCCCGGCUCAACCGGGGAGGGUCAUUGGAAACUGGGAGACUUGAGUGCAGAAGAGGAGAGUGGAAUUCCAUGUGUAGCGGUGAGAUGCGUAGAUAUAUGGAGGAACACCAGUGGCGAAGGCGGCUCUCUGGUCUGUAACUGACGCUGAGGCUAGAAAGCGUGGGGAGCAAACAGG